AUAACUAGAGUCACAUAUUCAGCUAACCACCCUUAAGAGUUAAAGUGAACUUGUUUAUAGGCAAUAUAACGUAAACUAUAUAUUUUAUUAACAUAACAGUUCGUGCAUUGAAUAUGCCAACUGUUUUAAGACAGUAUUAAGUUUUAUAUUUCAGCCUUUGAACGGGAAAUCAUCUAUGCCUUGUUUAUGACGAGCUUCACGCAGCUUUCACUUUCACUUUAGUCACUGCUAUAUUAAGCUCUCUUCGAUCACAGCAAGCACGGCAUCAGAAUGGCCUUUCGAGUCGAAUUUGUCUACAGAGCCAGUGAUAUCGAUAUAAAUGACACCGACCUCAGCAUUUCGAGAGCUAGAUUGUCCUGCGGUCACGUGACUUCCGCUCAGACUCUGGUGCAGCGCUGCACACUUCAGCUCCAGAGAGUCAGCUCUACUCUUUACUCUUUCAUAUUUUGGGCAGAUUUUACAACAUAUAUUGUUUUUAUUUGCCGGACAAGUGGAGCUGAAAUGUCCGAUAUGUGCAAAAGUGUGGCCGUACGGAGAAGUGAGAACAUUGCUGACCCCUAAGGAGCAACUUUAUUUUAAAGACCUACUUCGGGAAAAUGCCACUAAAAAGAUGACUGACAUCAAAGGGUGUCCUGGCUGCAGUUCCUUCGUUGAAAGAAAGGACUCCUCUGACCUCUGCGUUCGGUGUCCGUUCUGCUCAGUGAAGACGGGGAGGACGUCUGAGUUCUGCUGGCAGUGCGGGAGAACCUGGAAAGGGCCCCGACCUCGCGCCGAUAAAUGCGAUAAUCUGGGCUGCUCCGACAGCGACUUAAACAUGCUGAGAGAUUGUAAAAUGAUUAGUUUGCCUCAUCAUAGCGACCAAGUGAUUCAGUGCCCAUCGAUCCGUGCCUGUCCGGACUGUGGCAUGCUGAUCGAACACACUCUGGAAGGAUGCAAGUAUGUCGCAUGCUUUAAUUGUAAAAUAUCGUUCUGCUUCAUCUGUCUGAGAUCUUCUGGCUGUGUUAAAUGUGCCGCUGCUGCACCGAGACAGACAUCAGUGCCUUAGAAUCGUAAAAAAACGAUCAAAGUUAGUAUGGAAAUAGAGAAUGACUACUGUAAACUAAACUUAGAAAGGUUUUACAGUUUCUAUCUGUUUCUAUCUGAUUUUUUUUUUCUCCUCAAAAGAACGUUAUGCAUGCAGUUCACUUUUUUGGAACCCGGAAAUGAAAUAAAGACCUUGUGAUUUUUAACAGUUCUAGUGCUGUCAAACUAUUAAUCUUAUCCGAAAUAAAAGUUUCCGUUUGCGUACUACA
RNA transcript from Puntigrus tetrazona (Sumatra barb), 1292 nucleotides. RefSeq lists it as uncharacterized. NCBI's taxonomy places the organism in Eukaryota, Metazoa, Chordata, Actinopteri, Cypriniformes, Cyprinidae. The record is from RefSeq and is a predicted model, not a curated record. The transcript is spliced from 4 exons.